CAAUAGCGUAUAUUAAAGUUGUUGCGGUAAAAAAGCUCGUAGUUGGAUUUCUACCGAAGAUAGCCGGUCGGGUCUUCGACCUUGUAUCUGGUUUUGUCUUUGGUAUUCUCAUAGGGAACGUUUCUGCGCUUUAUUGCGUGGUGCGGUAUCUAUGACUUUUACUUUGAGGAAAUUAGAGUGUUCACGGCAGGCAAACGCCUUGAAUAUAUUAGCAUGGAAUAAUAACAUAGGAUCUUCGUCCUAUUUUGUUGGUUUCUAGGGCUAAGAUAAUGAUUAAUAGGGAUAAUUGGGGGCAUCUGUAUCAACGCGUCAGAGGUGGAAUUCUUGGAUUGCGUUGCGACAAACUACUGCGAAAGCAUUUGCCAAGGAUGUUUUCAUUGA
This 381-nucleotide ribosomal RNA is filed under the name uncultured eukaryote. Its description in RNAcentral is "partial 18S ribosomal RNA". It matches the Rfam family "Eukaryotic small subunit ribosomal RNA", at positions 592 to 976 of the family's 1831-position model. The record is from RNAcentral.